CCACAUGGGGAUUGCCCUCAGUAGCGGGGCGAGUGAGCGGCAAAGCUCAAAUUUGAAAUCUGGCGUCUUUGGCGUCCGAGUUGUAAUUUGAAGAAGGUAUCUUUGGGCCCGGCUCUUGUCUAUGUUCCUUGGAACAGGACGUCACAGAGGGUGAGAAUCCCGUGCGAUGAGAUGACCCGGGUCUGUGUAAAGUUCCUUCGACGAGUCGAGUUGUUUGGGAAUGCAGCUCUAAGUGGGUGGUAAAUUCCAUCUAAAGCUAAAUAUUGGCGAGAGACCGAUAGCGAACAAGUACAGUGAUGGAAAGAUGAAAAGAACUUUGAAAAGAGAGUGAAAAAGUACGUGAAAUUGUUGAAAGGGAAGGGCUUGAGAUCAGACUUGGUAUUUUGCAUGCUGCUCUCUCGGGGGCGGCCGCUGCGGUUUACCGGGCCAGCAUCGGUUUGGAGCGGCAGGAUAAUGGCGGAGGAAUGUGGCACGGCUUCUGCUGUGUGUUAUAGCCUCUGACGAUACUGCCAGCCUAGACCGAGGACUGCGGUUUUUACCUAGGAUGUUGGCAUAAUGAUCUUAAGUCGCCCGUCUUGAACAACGGACCCA
Molecule: ribosomal RNA, 591 nt
Filed under: Candida albicans
Lineage: Eukaryota; Fungi; Ascomycota; Pichiomycetes; Serinales; Debaryomycetaceae
Description: eukaryotic LSU rRNA
Rfam family: Eukaryotic large subunit ribosomal RNA
Source: RNAcentral